Molecule: ribosomal RNA, 678 nt
Filed under: Pseudopedinella elastica
Lineage: Eukaryota; Dictyochophyceae; Pedinellales
Description: partial Bacterial large subunit ribosomal RNA
Rfam family: Bacterial large subunit ribosomal RNA
Source: RNAcentral
GGACAGUGCUUGAUGGGUAGUUUGACUGGGGUGGUCGCCUCCAAAAGAGUAACGGAGGCUUCUAAAGGUUCCCUCAGCACGCUUGGUAACCGUGCGUAGAGUGCAAUGGCAUAAGGGAGCUUGACUGAGAGACCUACAAGUCGAUCAGGUACGAAAGUAGAGCAUAGUGAUCCGGUGGUUCCGUAUGGAAGGGCCAUCGCUCAAAGGAUAAAAGGUACUCCGGGAUAACAGGCUGAUCUCCCCCAAGAGCUCAUAUCGACGGGGGGGUUUGGCACCUCGAUGUCGGCUCGUCGCAUCCUGGGGCUGGAGUAGGUCCCAAGGGUUGGGCUGUUCGCCCAUUAAAGCGGUACGCGAGCUGGGUUCAGAACGUCGUGAGACAGUUCGGUCCCUAUCUGCCGUGGACGUUGGAGAUUUGAGGAAAGCUGCUCCUAGUACGAGAGGACCGGAGUGGACGAACCUCUGGUGUUCGGGUUGUGACGCCAGUCGCAUUGCCCGGUAGCUAUGUUCGGACAGGAUAACCGCUGAAAGCAUCUAAGCGGGAAGCCCCUUCCAAGAUGAGAUCUCCCUGGACCCUCGAGGUCCCUGAAGAGCCGUUCAAGACCAGGACGUUGAUAGGUCGGGUGUGUAAGCGCUGCGAGGCGUUGAGCUAACCGAUACUAAUUGCUCGUGCGGCUUGAC